RNAcentral lists this transfer RNA (77 nucleotides) under Meiothermus ruber. RNAcentral's name for it is "tRNA-Met". It matches the Rfam family "tRNA". Rfam says of the family: Transfer RNA (tRNA) molecules are approximately 80 nucleotides in length. Their secondary structure includes four short double-helical elements and three loops (D, anti-codon, and T loops). The record is from RNAcentral. RNAcentral also lists the same sequence under 60 other names. Lineage: Bacteria; Thermotogati; Deinococcota; Deinococci; Thermales; Thermaceae.
CGCGGGGUGGAGCAGUCUGGUAGCUCGUCGGGCUCAUAACCCGAAGGUCAUAGGUUCAAAUCCUAUCCCCGCAACCA